GCGAAAUUUGGGGACCAAAAGAGAUGCCUUUUCCCCUAUAUUGGUCAAAUAUUUGUUUUCGUAUCAUGUUUGCUCACAGAAUGAAACCUAAUCUCAAAAUCCCUUAGCUUUGUUCUGAGAUCCCUGAUAACUUACACUUUGAUGGUGUUGGAAAUCCGUCAAUUUUGGACUCCAAGUUUUCUGCUAAUGCUUCUAGACCACAGGGCCUUUUGUGGAAACUUCCAACUGAGACACAGCAGCGACAUGCAGAAAAGCAAAGGCAUCUCCAGUGGGACUGAGAGCAAUCCCAGGGCAGUGAACGGCUGGAGGUGUUGGAAUUGGCCUCCCUGUUCUUCCCUUCAGAAGAGAAUAUUCUCAAAAUGGGAAAUUUGCAGUUUCAGGUUGAACAAAUGCCAUGAGGGACACAGGAUCCUCAAGAUUUCUCUGCCAUCCUCAGCAUGUUGGUGUCAUCCCAUUCAUGGUCACCUAAUGCUGUAGUAGUCCAGGCCCCACCCACGUUGCAGGCAGAAAGAAGAAAGGGAAGUGUUGGCAUCAACCAACUUCCACUUUUGCUUCACACAACUUAACUACGGUAUAUGGCUACUCUUGGCUGCAGGAGAGGCCGUGAAAACCAGCUUUUGGUUUCUAUAGCUUCAACAGUAUGGAGAUAGGCAUGGGAUAAUGGGAGUGGAAAUGAAAAUCUGUCUAAUAGUUCUUCUGCAGUAUCUGCUAUAGAACCUUUAUUUUUUAGCAUUAUUUUCUGAGGAGUUACGUAUUGACUACUAAGGGUGCGAUGGUUUCCUUUAGGCAGAACAAGAUAAGCUCGUGGGCGUUGCGGAGCUUGCCCUCUAGGGAGGAAAGGGUACCAAUAAGUCAGCAUCCAUUCAACGUGACAAAGACUCUAAGAUAGGCAUGGGUUUCCCAUGUAAUUCAGGACACAGAGGAUGGACUUGGCCAGUUGGGCUGAGAGAAAGCAGUUGAUUGAGGCAUAUUAGAACAAUAUGUCUUUGUGUCUAAUGCAGUUGUGGAUGAAGAAUAGCCAGUAAUUGAAGAUAAUUCUUGCUUUGUAGCUAUAAAGGAUGAAUGGUUAGCUACUGAACAUAACUGGAUUCUGAAGUGCCUCUGUGGGGCAUGUAAGAGGAGCUAUCUCGUAUGCAGUCAGAAGAAUCGUGGUGAAAACUAACUUGGCCCUCAUUCUGGGCCAAGCACUAUGCACCAAGCUCUUCAUAUGGGUCAACUCUCUCAACUGUCACAUCACGGCUUGUGCUCAUGACUAUCACCCCCAUUUUACAGAAGAGCAGACUGAAGCUUAUAAAGGUUAACUAACUUAUCUAAGGUCACACAGCUAGAAAGUGGUGGCACUCAGAUUGGAGCCCAAAUAUUCUGACACCAACCUCUGCUCUUAACCAACAAAUAUUUCAUUCAACAAAUAUUCAUUCAACAAUAUUUAUUCAACCAAUAUUUAAUGAGCAUCUAUGAGGGGUCAGGCACUGUUCUGGGGAUAUACUGUUCGAGGGGAUACAGUGCUGGGGAUACAGUGGUACAAGAAAGACAUCCUUUCUAUCCUCACGGAGUGUUCAUUUUAUUGUAAAUAAAAACCCACAAUGUUGUAUAAUAAGUUUUGUUUUAACAUAUAUAAUAAAACUGAUUUUUAAAAAUGUAUAAUGUGUAGCAAUUACAUAAUUAUAUACAAUAGUAAUAGUUGGAUGUUAGUAGUGAUUCCACUAUCACAUACCACACUGUCUCAUGGCAGAAAUGGAAUGCAAAGUAGCAGAGUCAGGGUGACAAAGAGCCCGACCUGGAGUCUGUGCAGAGAUAGGUAGAUGACACUGCUGCUAAUGGGGCUCCAGAGAGGAGACCUGCUCGAGUCGUUUCCGGAAGGGAAGCCUGGCCCAGCGGUGCUGGGUUUGACCAGUGCUUCACCAAGAGCAGAUCAGAAGUAAGUGUCUAAGUGUACGUGAUACUGCAAAGGCAUGGUGGCUCCAGGGCAGCAGCCUGGCCAAGACUGAAUUCCAAGGUUCUAUAGUACUGACAGAACUGACAGAACUGGGAUCAUGCUCUUAUUUCUGAGAGUCUGACGUGUAGUUGAAGAUACGCAGUGAGGUCCUGAGUUGGCUUCCGCUAUCUUUUCCUGUUUCCUUUCUAUUCUCAGGGGUAUAGUCAGAGACAGGAAUUUAUAUGGUGCUGUAUUUUGAGAGGCUUUUAUUUUGUUUCGUUAAUUACAUGAGGAUAGAGCUCAAUAUAGAGUUUAGAGACCCAAGCCUUAUAGUCCCACAGAGAAGGGUCAUGGGUUUUACCAAACAUCAUAAACUUGAAUGGGAGCUUUAAAUAGGGAUGGGACAUUUUUUUGGGACGAAGAAAAGAAAUAAUUAUUGCACAUCAAAAUAAAAGAAGACAAUUACAAAGGCCUGUCUUCAUAACACUUUGUGUUUAAUAAUCAGGUUUGCUCAGGAAAUUAAG
Callithrix jacchus (white-tufted-ear marmoset) is the source of this 2439-nucleotide long non-coding RNA. The record is from Ensembl. NCBI's taxonomy places the organism in Eukaryota, Metazoa, Chordata, Mammalia, Primates, Cebidae.